CACAAGCGGAGGAGCAUGUGGUUUAAUUCGAUGAUACGCGAGGAACCUUACCUGGGCUCGAACGUAAGAUGACUGUAGGUGAAAGCUUACAUCUCUUCGGAGCAUUUUACGAGGUGCUGCAUGGUUGUCGUCAGCUCGUGCCGUGAGGUGUCGGGUUAAGUCCCAUAACGAGCGCAACCCUACCUUUAGUUGCCAUCAGGUAAUGCUGGGGACUCUAAAGGAACUGCCUACGCAAGUAGUGAGGAAGGCGGGGAUGACGUCAAAUCAGCACGGCCCUUACGUCCAGGGCUACACACGUGCUACAAUGGCCGAUACAGAGGGCAGCUACCUGGUGACAGGAUGCUAAUCUCAAAAGCCGGUCUCAGUUCGGAUCGGAGUCUGCAACCCGACUCCGUGAAGCUGGAAUCGCUGGUAAUCGCGCAUCAGCCAUGGCGCGGUGAAUACGUUCCCGGGCCUU
RNAcentral lists this ribosomal RNA (457 nucleotides) under uncultured Sphingobacteriales bacterium. RNAcentral describes it as "bacterial SSU rRNA". It matches the Rfam family "Bacterial small subunit ribosomal RNA", at positions 924 to 1382 of the family's 1533-position model. The record is from RNAcentral. Lineage: Bacteria; Pseudomonadati; Bacteroidota; Sphingobacteriia; Sphingobacteriales.